CCUACGGGUGGCAGCAGUGGGGAAUAUUGCGCAAUGGGCGAAAGCCUGACGCAGCGACGCCGCGUGAGGGAUGAAGGUCUUCGGAUCGUAAACCUCUGUCAGCAGGGAAGAACGGUCACUGUGCUAAUCAGCAGUGAAUUGACGGUACCUGCAAAGGAAGCACCGGCUAACUCCGUGCCAGCAGCCGCGGUAAUACGGAGGGUGCGAGCGUUAAUCGGAAUUACUGGGCGGAAAGCGCGCGUAGGCGGUAUGUCAAGUCAAGAGUGAAAUCCCGAGGCUCAACUUCGGAAGUGCCUCUGAUACUGUGCGGCUAGAGAGUAGUUGCGGUAAGCGGAA
Molecule: ribosomal RNA, 336 nt
Filed under: uncultured bacterium
Lineage: Bacteria
Description: partial 16S ribosomal RNA
Rfam family: Bacterial small subunit ribosomal RNA
Source: RNAcentral